GGUUUGUGUGUGUCCAUAUGUGAAGACAGAGGUGUGGGAUUCCCUCAAGGGAGGAAUUGCUGGGUCAUAUGAUAUUCUGAUUUUCCAAUACGUUUUCAGAUCGAAAAUUAUUGGAAGAAACUGACAACCUAACGUGACUUUGGAAGAAACAAUUCGAGGAAACCUUGUGAGAACAGUUUUGGGAACAUCUACACAUCUUUCUUUUCUCUGGGCUAACUUACGAGGGAAUGGGGGUGGUGGCAUAUUGUGAGCUUUGUUUGAUGUUGAUCCUAAAUUUCUGAAAAGUUUGAGCUCGUGUUUGGUUCUCUCUCCAUGUUUCCAGUGCCUCAGUGUGUUACCAUACAAAAUCAUAUACUUUGGUUUAAAAUCAUAUAUGUGAUGUCAGUUAUUGACUAAGAAAACUUGCCUUGAUGGGCAUAUUUAUUGAUACUAGUGCAUAAAGAAGCAUCUUUGUGGAAGAAACAAUACUGUCUCUUCUGUAAAGAUGUGAAAGUAGAACCAGUUGGGGCUCUCCAUUGUGGGGCUUAGCAUCCUGAGCAGGGCUGACCAAUCUUUCCAGGUUACCUUGUCAGGAACCCUCCUGCAAACCAAAGGGGACCUCCUCCCCCACCCCUUUUUUUUUUCCUGGUUAUUCAAACAAAGUGGCAUCUGUCACAACUGUUUCCAUAAGGAGAGGCUUCAUUCUGUGUCUGAAUCCUUUAUGCCCUCAUGUUCCUGAGCAGACCUUUCUGGAAAGCAGUGUGCUAUAAGUCAGUGGGAUGGGUGUUACAGUCCAAAAUUCCCUACAAAAGACAGGAGAAAAGUAAGAGUCCACCUAUAGUGUGUGGAUCAAAAGAGAGGCAAACAGAAUGGGUACGUUUAGAAGGUUUGUGGAUCUGGCUACUCAUGAACACCAUGAGGCAAUAUAGAUGUAUUUAGUCCUUAACAGAAGCUGACCACCCACAGAAUUUGAGAGAGAAAUUCUGAGACUUAGUUCAAUUCUUAGUUCUAUUAGUUCAAUAUUCUGGGUAAAUUUUUUUGUUAUUUUAUAGUAGUGUUAAUAUAUAAUAGUGUUAAUAGUACAGUAGUUAAUAUUACUCCUUUCCUAGAGGGUAACGUGGGUUUGUGUCCUCUCCAUCUAUGUUUCAACUUAACUAAGCAUGCGUGCACACACGCACACACACACACACAUGCAUGUGCAUGUAAAGAAAAAAUAU
This is a long non-coding RNA of Mustela lutreola (European mink), 1196 nucleotides long. RefSeq lists it as uncharacterized. NCBI's taxonomy places the organism in Eukaryota, Metazoa, Chordata, Mammalia, Carnivora, Mustelidae. The transcript has 3 exons. The record is from RefSeq and is a predicted model, not a curated record.